Molecule: ribosomal RNA, 253 nt
Filed under: uncultured bacterium
Lineage: Bacteria
Description: partial 16S ribosomal RNA
Rfam family: Bacterial small subunit ribosomal RNA
Source: RNAcentral
UACGUAGGGGGCAAGCGUUGUCCGGAAUCAUUGGGCGUAAAGAGCGCGUAGGCGGCCCGAUAAGUCCGCUGUAAAAGUCAAAGGCUCAACCUUUGAAUGCCGGUGGAAACUGUCGGGCUAGAGUCCGGAAGAGGCGAGUGGAAUUCCUGGUGUAGCGGUGGAAUGCGCAGAUAUCAGGAGGAACACCAACGGCGAAGGCAGCUCGCUGGGACGGUACUGACGCUGAGGCGCGAAAGCGUGGGGAGCGAACAGG